CAAGGGUUUUUAAAGGCAGGAGUACAUUUCAGGGAAAAGGAUGUUGCAGGCAAAAUCUUAUAUCAAUAUAUGGAAGUAAUACAUUGGUUUGGCCUAAAAAGGCAGGCCAGAGGUGGACUAAAAGACUUCUUGAUCUGCAAUUGGUUAAGGAAGGAAAGCUUUGUCUAAACACUUGGGGUCAGUCAAAAGGAAUAUUAGGCCUGGCCUGUGGGUUUGAUUUCCUCCUGGCUCCUCAGGAAUAAAUUUAGAAUGAAGAACGGUUGCCAGAAUUUACUCCUCAGCUGUCCCCUGUCUGAAGUCUUAUGUGCUAGAGGAUUCCUUUUCGAAAACCACACUGAGGAAGUGUCCAGCUAUUCCCAAGGAUACUAUCAACAGGGCUGGAUGCUUCCUGUACUAGAACAUUAAACUCCAAGUUCUUCAGCUUUGAAACUCUUGGACCUUUGACCACAGACUGAAGGCUGCACUGUCGGCUUCCCUACUUUUGAGAUUUUGGGACUCAAACUGGCUUCGUUGCUCCUCAGCUUGACUAUAGUGGGACCUCACCUUGU
This is a long non-coding RNA of Chlorocebus sabaeus (green monkey), 548 nucleotides long. RefSeq lists it as uncharacterized. Lineage: Eukaryota; Metazoa; Chordata; Mammalia; Primates; Cercopithecidae. The record is from RefSeq and is a predicted model, not a curated record.